Long non-coding RNA from Zingiber officinale, 556 nucleotides. RefSeq lists it as uncharacterized. Lineage: Eukaryota; Viridiplantae; Streptophyta; Magnoliopsida; Zingiberales; Zingiberaceae. The transcript has 2 exons. The record is from RefSeq and is a predicted model, not a curated record.
CAUGGGGCUCAGCAUUCUCUUGCUGCUACAGACGUUUCACUCUAUUAUUAAUAUAUGCUUUGCAUCCUUCACUUGUUGUGCAUCCUCUUACAUCUACAGGUGUUGCUCCCUUCACCUACGGUGCUCUGCUUCCUUUUAUGGCUAUGGGCUCUGCUCCCUUAUAUCGGCUUCACGCUCUUUAUCUUCUCCCCUCGCUCCAUGGGUAUUUGGGAGUUGAGAGACCGAGACAGAUCCUCAGUCGGUUGACACCACUUCGCGAUCAGCAUAAACCUAAGAUCAUUAUUGCCUAGAGAACUCAGGAAACUGAACUAAAAAGGAAAGCUCAGGGGGCUGAGCCAGACGGUGAGAUCGGAAGGCUGAACUAGAUUGUGAGCUCCGGAGGCUAAGCUAGAUGAUUAGCUUAGGAGGCCAACACAGAUGGAAAAAUUGACCUUUUCUAUUGUCAAAGCACUAGAAUUUUCUAAUUUGGCGACGGCUUUUCUUGUCAAACCACAAACUUAUAUUAUUUCUAGAAGCACGAGGAUCAAACCGGUCGUGAAUUUGUUUAUUUUUUUAA